This 71-nucleotide transfer RNA is filed under the name Dichomitus squalens. Its description in RNAcentral is "tRNA-Cys". It matches the Rfam family "tRNA". From Rfam's summary of the family: Transfer RNA (tRNA) molecules are approximately 80 nucleotides in length. Their secondary structure includes four short double-helical elements and three loops (D, anti-codon, and T loops). Further hydrogen bonds mediate the characteristic L-shaped molecular structure. tRNAs have two regions of fundamental functional importance: the anti-codon, which is responsible for specific mRNA codon recognition, and the 3' end, to which the tRNAs corresponding amino acid is attached (by aminoacyl-tRNA synthetases). tRNAs cope with the degeneracy of the genetic code in two manners: having more than one tRNA (with a specific anti-codon) for a particular amino acid; and 'wobble' base-pairing, i.e. permitting non-standard base-pairing at the 3rd anti-codon position. Lineage: Eukaryota; Fungi; Basidiomycota; Agaricomycetes; Polyporales; Polyporaceae. The record is from RNAcentral.
GGUUGGAUGGUGUAGUGGUAACACCUCUCAGUGCAUAUGGGAUGACCUAGGUUCAAUCUCUGGUCUGACCA